GUAGGUGGCAAGCGUUGUCCGGAAUUAUUGGGCGUAAAGCGCGCGCAGGCGGUUCUUUAAGUCUGAUGUGAAAGCCCACGGCUCAACCGUGGAGGGUCAUUGGAAACUGGGGGACUUGAGUACAGAAGAGGAAAGCGGAAUUCCAAGUGUAGCGGUGAAAUGCGUAGAGAUUUGGAGGAACACCAGUGGCGAAGGCGGCUUUCUGGUCUGUAACUGACGCUGAGGCGCGAAAGCGUGGGGAGCAAACAGGGAUUAGAUACCCUGGUAGUCCACGCCGUAAACGAUGAGUGCUAAGUGUUAGGGGGUUUCCGCCCCUUAGUGCUGCAGCUAACGCAUUAAGCACUCCGCCUGGGGAUACGGCCGCAAGGCUG
Molecule: ribosomal RNA, 371 nt
Filed under: uncultured organism
Description: partial 16S ribosomal RNA
Rfam family: Bacterial small subunit ribosomal RNA
Source: RNAcentral